GAUGAACGCUAGCGGCAGGCUUAACACAUGCAAGUCGAGGGGUAACAUUGUAGCUUGCUACAGAUGACGACCGGCGCACGGGUGCGUAACGCGUAUAGAACCUACCUUUUACAGAGGGAUAGCCUUUAGAAAUGAAGAUUAAUACCUCAUGGUUCCUAAAUUUCACCUGAGAUUUAGGAUAAAGAUUUAUCGGUAAAAGAUGGCUAUGCGUCCUAUUAGCUAGAUGGUAAGGUAACGGCUUACCAUGGCUAUGAUAGGUAGGGGUCCUGAGAGGGAGAUCCCCCACACUGGUACUGAGACACGGACCAGACUCCUACGGGAGGCAGCAGUGAGGAAUAUUGGGCAAUGGAGGCAACUCUGACCCAGCCAUGCCGCGUGAAGGAAGACGGCCCUAUGGGUUGUAAACUUCUUUUAUACAGGAAGAAACGCAGAUACGUGUAUUUGUUUGACGGUACUGUAAGAAUAAGCACCGGCUAACUCCG
Molecule: ribosomal RNA, 482 nt
Filed under: uncultured Polaribacter sp.
Lineage: Bacteria; Pseudomonadati; Bacteroidota; Flavobacteriia; Flavobacteriales; Flavobacteriaceae
Description: bacterial SSU rRNA
Rfam family: Bacterial small subunit ribosomal RNA
Source: RNAcentral